RNAcentral lists this ribosomal RNA (402 nucleotides) under uncultured bacterium. RNAcentral's name for it is "bacterial SSU rRNA". It matches the Rfam family "Bacterial small subunit ribosomal RNA", at positions 355 to 774 of the family's 1533-position model. The record is from RNAcentral.
UGGGGAAUAUUGCACAAUGGGGGAAACCCUGAUGCAGCAACGCCGCGUGAGUGAUGAAGGCCUUCGGGUUGUAAAGCUCUGUCUUUGGGGACGAUAAUGACGGUACCCAAGGAGGAAGCCACGUCUAACUACGUGCCAGCAGCCGCGGUAAUACGUAGGUGGCAAGCGUUGUCCGGAUUUACUGGGCGUAAAGCGCACGUAGGCGGACAUUUAAGUCAGGGGUGAAAUCCCAGGGCUCAACCCUGGAACUGCCUUUGAUACUGGGUGUCUUGAGUACGAGAGAGGUGAGUGGAAUUCCGAGUGUAGAGGUGAAAUUCGUAGAUAUUCGGAAGAACACCAGUGGCGAAGGAGGCUCACUGGCUCGUAACUGACGCUGAGGUGCGAAAGCGUGGGGAGCAAACA